Molecule: ribosomal RNA, 245 nt
Filed under: uncultured bacterium
Lineage: Bacteria
Description: partial 16S ribosomal RNA
Rfam family: Bacterial small subunit ribosomal RNA
Source: RNAcentral
GGGCUAGCGUUGUCCGGAAUCAUUGGGCGUAAAGAGCGUGUAGGCGGCCCGGUAAGUCCGCUGUGAAAGUCGGGGGCUCAACCCUCGAAUGCCGGUGGAUACUGUCGGGCUAGAGUGCGGAAGAGGAGAAUGGAAUUCCCGGUGUAGCGGUGAAAUGCGCAGAUAUCGGGAAGAACACCCGUGGCGAAGGCGGUUCUCUGGGACGGUACUGACGCUGAGAAGCGAAAGCAUGGGGAGCGAACAGG